CUUCCAAGCGGUGCUGAGGACAUUGAGAGCAGGGAGUAUUUCUCGAGCACUUCCUGGUAUUCCCAGUCAUUCCCAUUGUCCAGUGGUAUCACAGCUCUGGUGCAGGGUUGGGCCUGUAGCUGGAUGAGAGAGGUGCCCUGGAGUCCAGAGUCAAAAGAGUACUCUCAGGGUCCUGCAGGCACAGUGUGCGAGCCCAAGAGCGGCCCCUCCCUGAACUUGGCUCCCUGGUGACCAGCCUCUCACUGUUGUCUAGGUGAAUCUAUGGUGAAUCCAGCUCAGAACAAAGAGGAUUGUGUACAGCUGAAUUUUUAGCUGUAAUUGUUAAAUUCCACUGCAGAGGCGGUCUGUAAAGUAAGCAGUCUGAGCCAUUUGGUUUUCAAGAGCCAGAGUAUUGAGAGAGAAAGAUGUGGGGAAAUUCUGCUGACUCAGCUUUGCCCACUAAAGAGGAGAGGCUGGAGAGGCUGAAGGAUGCCAGGAACCAUAGAGCUCUGGAAUAAACGGGUGGCGCAGGGAGAGGUGACUGGAGGGGUCUGGCCAGAGCUUAGGUGAGGGGGUCCAGAAGGUGAGGGCUCAGGUGAUCAGAGCAGCGUGGGCUGCUGUCCUGGGGAGAAGGUGGUAGAAUGCAGCCUCCUGGAGAGGUCGCUCUGGCUCAGCCCUGGGGACGCAGAGAAGGGAUGGCAGAGGGAGGGACAGAGGACAGCCUGCCAACCUUGAUUCUGGAACCAAGAGUAAGGGGUCGUGCAUGUGCCAUGUAGGCCACAGACCCAAAGGAUUUAGAGUCAGGCUGAGGAGGACCUGUGAGACUUCCACUGACCUCAGGUACAGAAGGCGAGAGCUGUCAGCAUGGGACGUCUGUGGCUAGGGGGGCAGCAGAGGCCAGCGGAAGACCCAGGCCAGCACAGGACUGGCUUUGGAUGGCAUGGAAGGACGUGAAGAUCUCAGAGCCCAGGUCACCUCCUGGAGGAGACAAGCUCCAGUGACCACAGAAGUCUGGGAAGGAUCAGGUGGUCUUUAAUUGGCAAAAUGAAGGUUUUUCUGUCUAUGGUAACGCAGUUGUGCUUGGUGAAGAAAACCAUGCAGUCAGCUGUUUCUCUUGUUCCUGGCCAGCAUCCAGCCUGUGAGAGCUCCACCUGCCAUCCCUGGGGAUGCCAGGUUCCCCUCUGGCUCUUUGUUUCGUUCACCCUCCUGCUGACAAAGACCUGAGGAUCCCGUGUUGAGAGGCACAGAGCACGUAUAUUGCCGUUCAGCACUUCCUGUUUUUGAAGCCAGCGGGGAAGCGUGGAGGAGUGUUCCCAGGGCUCUGCCUCCAGAACCCAAAUCCCCCAGACACAGGGAGACACUCCUCCCUGGGGAGUGUCUGUCACCUGUGGGGGUGACAGUGGCCUGAAGGACGUGAUCUGUGCACACAGUCGCUUUCCUGUCUUAGUGUCUCUGAGGACCUGCUGUGCACUUGGGUGUACCUGCCAUGUGACUGUGUUACCACUUACCUCCUUUUGUAAAUCAGAUCAUAAAUUCACUUUGAGAAUUUAUCAUUUAUAAAAGGAACCAGUAGUAAUUCUUUUUGUGUAAUGAAUACUCUUCUCCUAAUGAUCUGAUUUCAAAGUUUACAUUUUUUAACAGGUUGGGUAUUCGUUUCAGUGUCGACUCUUCCCCAAGGCCCAUGGACAUUCUAACAAAAGGCGUUAUUUUCAGAAUCCAAACAUAAAUACAUAAUAACGCUAUGACUUGAAGCAGCAUGAACAAUGGAGGUAGGAAGUGAAGCAGGCUUUCACAGAAACAUGAACUCAUUUUCAUGGCUCCCAGUAUUUCUCAUUACAAGUUAAACUAUUUAAAAUGAUGGCUUAAUAGGCACCACCUGAGAUGUGGGCGGGAUAAUGAGUGUGAGAUGCUGAACUACUGCGUUUCCUGACUUCUUUGUGCGGAAAUUAGUAAAUGCACCGUCCUAGGAAAAAUGGCUUUGCGAGUCUCAUUUUCAUUUUUCCUGUGCCCUCUGCCCAAGUGCUAGACGGGGGAGAGAUGCAUUCUUAGGAGUCAUGUUUUGGAGUAGCUAUGGUGGGCUUCAGGGUGAAGUCUGCACUGACCGAGGGUGUGGCCUAGGUGUGUGUGUGUGUAUGUGUGUAGGUGUGUAUACAUAUAAGUGUGUGUAUAUAUAUAUGUAUAUGUAUACGUGUAUACAUAUAUAUGUGUAUGUGUAUGUAUAGAA
Acinonyx jubatus (cheetah) is the source of this 2203-nucleotide long non-coding RNA. RefSeq lists it as uncharacterized. NCBI's taxonomy places the organism in Eukaryota, Metazoa, Chordata, Mammalia, Carnivora, Felidae. The record is from RefSeq and is a predicted model, not a curated record. The transcript is spliced from 3 exons.